Molecule: transfer RNA, 73 nt
Filed under: Scleropages formosus (Asian bonytongue)
Lineage: Eukaryota; Metazoa; Chordata; Actinopteri; Osteoglossiformes; Osteoglossidae
Description: tRNA-Tyr
Rfam family: tRNA
About the family: Transfer RNA (tRNA) molecules are approximately 80 nucleotides in length. Their secondary structure includes four short double-helical elements and three loops (D, anti-codon, and T loops).
Source: RNAcentral
CCUUUGGUAGUACAGCUGGUUGGGCAGAGAACUGUAGAUCCUUAGGUCGCCGGUUUGAGUCCGGCUCGAAGUA